CGUGUGUGGCAAUACGAAGACGUGACGCGGACCGAAAUAAAGUAGGGAAGCAUGUGAGCCAUGUGCCAAGAAAAGCCGCUAUAGAUCAUACCGUACCCGUACCGUAAACCGACACAGGUAGAUGAGGAGAGAAUCCUAAGGCCGACGGGAGAUCAUUGUUAAGGAACUCGGCAAAAUGACCCCGUAACUUCGGGAGAAGGGGUGCCCACGCGAGUGGGCCGCAGAGAAUAGGCUCAAGCAACUGUUUAGCAAAAACACAGGUCUAUGCGAAACCGAAAGGUGAGGUAUAUGGGCUGACGCCUGCCCGGUGCUGGAAGGUUAAGAGGAGGAGUCAGGCAACGAAGCUCCGAAUUUAAGCCCCAGUAAACGGCGGCCGUAACAAUAACGGUCCUAAGGUAGCGAAAUUCCUUGUCGGGUAAGUUCCGACCCGCACGAAAGGCGUAAUGAUUUGAGCACUGUCUCGACAAUGCACCCGGUGAAAUUGAAGUACCAGUGAAGAUGCUGGUUACCUGCGCCAGGACGGAAAGACCCCAUGGAGCUUUACUCCAGUUUGAUACUGGGAUUCGAUACUGAAUGUACAGGAUAGGUGGGAGGCUGAGAAGCGUGGACGCCAGUCUGCGGUGAGCCGCUGUUGGGAUACCACCCUUUGAGUAUUGGAUUUCUAACCUGCGCCCGUGACCCGGGCGGGGGACAAUGUCUGACGGGGAGUUUGACUGGGGCGGUCGCCUCCGAAAGGGUAUCGGAGGCGCUCAAAGGUUCCCUCAGAAUGGUUGGAAACCAUUCGCAGAGUGCAAAGGCAGAAGGGAGCUUGACUGUGACACCGACGGGUGGAGCAGGUACGAAAGUAGGACUUAGUGAUCCGGUGGUAUGAAAGUGGGAUUGCCAUCGCUCAACGGAUAAAAGCUACCCUGGGAUAACAGGCUUAUCACUCCCAAGAGUUCACAUCGACGGAGUGGUUUGGCACCUCGAUGUCGGCUCAUCGCAUCCUGGGGCUGUAGCAGGUCCCAAGGGUUGGGCUGUUCGCCCAUUAAAGCGGUACGCGAGCUGGGUUCAGAACGUCGUGAGACAGUUCGGUCCCUAUCCGGCGCAGGCGUAGGAUAUUUGAGAGGAGCUGUCCUUAGUACGAGAGGACCGGGAUGGACAGACCGCUGGUGUAUCUGUUGGUGACCAACACCAUGGCAGAGUAGCCAAGUCUGGCAGGGAUAAACGCUGAAGGCAUCUAAGCGUGAAGCCCCCCUCAAGAUGAGAUAUCCCAAUAAGUAAGACCCCUUAGAGAUUAUGAGGUAGAUAGGCUUAAGGUGUAAGCAUAGUAAUAUGUUCAGCUGAUAAGUACUAAUAGGUCGAGGGCUUAUCAA
Molecule: ribosomal RNA, 1355 nt
Filed under: metagenome
Description: bacterial LSU rRNA
Rfam family: Bacterial large subunit ribosomal RNA
Source: RNAcentral